UCCGGCCUACGGGACGCAGCAGUGAGGAAUAUUGGUCAAUGGGAGAGAUCCUGAACCAGCCAAGCCGCGUGAGGGAAGACGGCCCUAUGGGUUGUAAACCUCUUUUGUCGGAGAACAAAACCCGGGACGUGUCCCGGACUGCGUGUAUCCGAAGAAAAAGCAUCGGCUAACUCCGUGCCAGCAGCCGCGGUAAUACGGAGGAUGCGAGCGUUACUCGGAAUCACUGGGCGUAAAGAGCGCGUAGGCGGGAUAGCAAGUCAGAUGUGAAAUCCUAUGGCUUAACCAUA
This 287-nucleotide ribosomal RNA is filed under the name uncultured bacterium. Its description in RNAcentral is "partial 16S ribosomal RNA". It matches the Rfam family "Bacterial small subunit ribosomal RNA", at positions 333 to 617 of the family's 1533-position model. The record is from RNAcentral.